RNAcentral lists this ribosomal RNA (454 nucleotides) under uncultured bacterium. RNAcentral describes it as "partial 16S ribosomal RNA". It matches the Rfam family "Bacterial small subunit ribosomal RNA", at positions 28 to 507 of the family's 1533-position model. The record is from RNAcentral.
GAUGAACGCUGACAGAAUGCUUAACACAUGCAAGUCAACUUGAACUUCGGUUUGGGUGGCGGACGGGUGAGUCACGCGUAAAGAACUUGCCUCACAGUUAGGGACAACAUUUGGAAACGAAUGCUAAUACCUGAUAUUAUGAUUUUAGGGCAUCCUAGAAUUAUGAAAGCUAUAUGCGCUGUGAGAGAGCUUUGCGUCCCAUUAGCUAGUUGGAGAGGUAACGGCUCACCAAGGCGAUGAUGGGUAGCCGGCCUGAGAGGGUGAACGGCCACAAGGGGACUGAGACACGGCCCUUACUCCUACGGGAGGCAGCAGUGGGGAAUAUUGGACAAUGGACCAAGAGUCUGAUCCAGCAAUUCUGUGUGCACGAUGAAGUUUUUCGGAAUGUAAAGUGCUUUCAGUUGGGAAGAAAAAAAUGACGAUACCAACAGAAGAAGUGACGGCUAAAUACGUG